Molecule: ribosomal RNA, 1342 nt
Filed under: uncultured bacterium
Lineage: Bacteria
Description: bacterial SSU rRNA
Rfam family: Bacterial small subunit ribosomal RNA
Source: RNAcentral
GGACGAACGCUGGCGGCGUGCCUAACACAUGCAAGUCGAGCGAAGUACUUAUCAAUAAGCCUUCGGGCAGAUUGAUAAUCUACUUAGCGGCGGAUGGGUGAGUAACGCGUGAGGAACCUGCCUUCCACAAGGGGAUAGCCUCGGGAAACCGGGAUUAAUACCCUAUGACACUUAAAGGUCCCAUGACUUUUAAGUUAAAGCGUUAGCGGUGGAAGAUGGCCUCGCGUCCCAUUAGCUAGUUGGUGAGGUAACGGCUCACCAAGGCCACGAUGGGUAGCCGGCUUGAGAGAGUGACCGGCCACACUGGAACUGAAACACGGUCCAUACACCUACGGGUGGCAGCAGUAGGGAAUAUUAGUAAUGGGCGAAAGCCUGAACUAGCAACGCCGCGUGUGCGAAGAAGGCCUUCGGGUCGUAAAGCACUUUUUGAGAGGAUGAGGAAGGACGGUACUCUCAGAAUAAGUCUCGGCUAACUACGUGCCAGCAGCCGCGGUAACACGUAGGAGGCAAACGUUAUCCGGAUUUACUGGGCGUAAAGCGCGUGUAGGUGGUUUGGUAAGUAGGGCGUGAAAGCUCCUGGCUCAACUGGGAGAGGACGUUCUAAACUGCCAAGCUUGAGGAUGGUAGAGGGAGGUGGAAUUNNNGGUGUAGCGGUGGAAUGCGCAGAUANNNGGAGGAACACCAGUGGCGAAGGCGGCCUCCUGGACCACUCCUGACACUCAGACGCGAAAGCUAGGGUAGCAAACGGGAUUAGAGACCCCGGUAGUCCUAGCCCUAAACGAUGUAGACUUGGCGUCGGUGGUUUAAUCGCCAUCAGUGUCGUAGCUAACGCGAUAAGUCUACCGCCUGGGGACUACGGCCGCAAGGUUAAAAUUCAUAGGAAUUGACGGGUCCCCGCACAAGCAGCGGAGCGUGUGGUUUAAUUCGAUGCUACACGAAGAACCUUACCUGGGUUUGACAUAGAGGUAGUAGGGAAGCGAAAGCGGACCGACCCUUCGGGGAGCCUCUACAGGUGUUGCAUGGCUGUCGUCAGCUCGUGUCGUGAGAUGUUCGGUUAAGUCCGCUAACGAGCGCAACCCUCGCUGUGUGUUACAAGUGCCACACGGUACUGCCGAUAUUAAGUCGGAGGAAGGUGGGGAUGACGUCAAGUCAGCAUGACCUUUAUAUCCAGGGCUACACACACGCUACAAUGGCCAGUACAAUGGGUUGCCAAGCCGCGAGGCGGAGCCAAUCCUAAAAAGCUGGCCUCAGUUCAGAUUGCAGUCUGCAACUCGACUGCAUGAAGUUGGAGUUGCUAGUAACCGCAGGUCAGCAAUACUGCGGUGAAUACGUUCCCGGGGAU